AGGAAAAUAGAAGCACUUUAUCCGUCACUCCCCAGCAAAUGCUGCAUGUGGGACUAAGUUGGAAAGGGACUGAUGUAACAUGCUUCUGGAUAGAGUAAAACACUUCUGCCCUGUAUGGUUGUGUGGUUUGUUCACUGCACAAGAGCACGUGGCCAAGGGGGUAAGUGGGGCUGAUAAUCCUGCCUGCACUCCAUGCCAAGCCACGCACAAAGGUCUCCCCAGUGACAUUGUGGGGCCCUCUUGGACAGACAUGGAGAGCUUCUGGAAUCCAGCACACAUGGAAUUAUUUUCAGGAUCCCAGGUCUGUAGUGAUGUGGCUCACUGUGAUUAUGGACCAAGGUAUGCAUUUCGUCCUAAUAAGACCAGAGAUGUACAUCGUGAGAGACCUAGAACAUGGCAGGAAUCACUAAUUGUCUUGUGUGUGUGUGUGUGUGUGUGUGUGUGUGUGUGUGUGUGUGUGUGUGUGUGUUUCCCCCAAGGCACUUUUUCUGCGGAUGGCGACCACUUUGGCUUAGGGAUAUGUACAGAUCUCUCAAUGCCACACGCCAGAAAAAUAUGGCAGAGAAGCUACACGACAAGGAGUCUUCUGAUGAGGAGGAGAUUUUCCACAAGGAUGCAGGGGAGCUCACGGAAGUUGUGGUGACCACACCGGUGGAGUCAGCUGAAGCACCGGAGGGGGACGAGGAGGAGGAAGCAUAGUGCCCCAGCCUGCCUCAGGCAGCCUGUCAAUAAAUUCUCUAACAUUGGCUUCUCA
Long non-coding RNA from Lemur catta (Ring-tailed lemur), 754 nucleotides. RefSeq lists it as uncharacterized. The transcript is spliced from 2 exons. NCBI's taxonomy places the organism in Eukaryota, Metazoa, Chordata, Mammalia, Primates, Lemuridae. The record is from RefSeq and is a predicted model, not a curated record.